UACAGAGGUCUCAAGCGUUGUUCGGAUUUACUGGGCGUAAAGGGCGCGUAGGCGGUCAGCACAAGUCAGUUGUGAAAUCUCCGGGCUUAACUCGGAAAGGUCAACUGAUACUGUGCGACUAGAGUGCAGAAGGGGCAACUGGAAUUCUCGGUGUAGCGGUGAAAUGCGUAGAUAUCGAGAGGAACACCUGCGGCGAAGGCGGGUUGCUGGGCUGACACUGACGCUGAUGCGCGAAAGCCAGGGGAGCAAACGGG
RNAcentral lists this ribosomal RNA (254 nucleotides) under uncultured bacterium. RNAcentral's name for it is "partial 16S ribosomal RNA". It matches the Rfam family "Bacterial small subunit ribosomal RNA", at positions 524 to 776 of the family's 1533-position model. The record is from RNAcentral.